AGCACAGCUGUUGGAUUGCAUGCUUGAAGCGUCUUCCGGAGGGUUCGAGGUUCUGUUUGUUAUUCUGGUUGGCGUUGGAGAUGCAAUUACUAUGUUUCAGUUAUCCGUAAAAAGCUUUUCCUGAAACGCGUGAAAGCCUAACAAUGUGAAUAUCCGGAAGACAAGUAAAGCUCAUGUAUUUUUUGUGACCCUGGGACAUCGAACGUCAAAGCGACCAUGUGACACGGUGGCCGAGUAUUCCCAGAAAAUGUGUCUAGUCCUCGAGAUCGACGGUAUACAUGCGAAUACUGGAAAGACAACAACAGCUGACCAAGCCGAGGAAAACCACUUUCUGCGAGUGCAAAGAACACUACUGUGACUGCGUAUCUUCUGGAACCUUCCUAGCUCGAUUCAAGAAAUGUUGUCUGCUGUUUCAUAAGUAUUCUGUGUUUGCCAGGGUUGAAAUAGAGAAUGCAAACAUAUUGCUUCUCCUUAGCAGCUUGUUUGUUUCCUCUUCUACGAAAGAGAGCACAAAGUUUACAUUCAGCCGAAACUUUCACGCAUUAGUUACAUGUAAAACGAAUACAUUUGUGUCAAAAGAAACUUCAUUAUUAUUGCCACAGACUCCAUGGUACUUACUGAAACCAAUUAAUUUCAUCAGUCGAUGAGGUGACUCGCUCACCUAUGUGGGAUAUAAUUUCCGUCAAUUAAAGAUCUCUACCUUCAAUACUUCUCCUUGAAAUGCUCCUCAAUGCUAUUACUCGAUAGCAUUGUGUAUUAGUUUGAUGUGGUUCUAUUGUUUACACCAACUUGGCUGGCAACAGAAU
RNAcentral lists this long non-coding RNA (806 nucleotides) under Orbicella faveolata. RNAcentral's name for it is "uncharacterized LOC110051179, transcript variant X1". The record is from RNAcentral. Lineage: Eukaryota; Metazoa; Cnidaria; Anthozoa; Scleractinia; Merulinidae.